AGGCUUUGAUCCUGGCUCAGGAUGAACGCUAGCGGCAGGCUUAAUACAUGCAAGUCGAACGGUAACAGGCGGUAGCAAUACUGUGCUGACGAGUGGCGCACGGGUGUGUAACACGUAUGCAACUUACCCUUUACUGGGGGAUAACCUUGAGAAAUUAGGGCUAAUACCCCAUGGUAUCUAUAGAUGGCAUCGUUUAUAGAUUAAAGAUUUAUUGGUAGAGGAUAGGCAUGCGUCCCAUUAGUUAGUUGGUGAGGUAACGGCUCACCAAGACCGUGAUGGGUAGGGGUCCUGAGAGGGUUAUCCCCCACACUGGUACUGAGACACGGACCAGACUCCUACGGGAGGCAGCAGUAAGGAAUAUUGGGCAAUGGCCGCGAGGCUGACCCAGCCAUGCCGCGUGCAGGAAGACUGCCUUAUGGGUUGUAAACUGCUUUUCUGUGGGAAUAACCUGCUCCACGAGUGGGGCACUGCAAGUACCAUUAGUGAAUAAGCAUCGGCUACAUC
RNAcentral lists this ribosomal RNA (504 nucleotides) under uncultured Bacteroidota bacterium. Its description in RNAcentral is "bacterial SSU rRNA". It matches the Rfam family "Bacterial small subunit ribosomal RNA", at positions 8 to 503 of the family's 1533-position model. Lineage: Bacteria; Pseudomonadati; Bacteroidota. The record is from RNAcentral.